GAUGAACGCUGGCGGCGUGCCUAAUACAUGCAAGUCGAGCGAACGGACGAGAAGCUUGCUUCUCUGAUGUUAGCGGCGGACGGGUGAGUAACACGUGGAUAACCUACCUAUAAGACUGGGAUAACUUCGGGAAACCGGAGCUAAUACCGGAUAAUAUUUUGAACCGCAUGGUUCAAAAGUGAAAGACGGUCUUGCUGUCACUUAUAGAUGGAUCCGCGCUGCAUUAGCUAGUUGGUAAGGUAACGGCUUACCAAGGCAACGAUGCAUAGCCGACCUGAGAGGGUGAACGGCCAGACUGGAAGUGAGAAAGGGCCCAGACUCCUAAGGGAGGAAGCAGUAGGGAAUCUUACGCAAUGGGCGAAAGACGGACGGAGCAAAGUCGCGUGAGUGAUGAAGGUCUUCGGAUCGUAAAACUCUGUUAUUAGGGAAGAACAUAUGUGUAAGUAACUGUGCACAUCUUGACGGUACCUAAUCAGAAAGCCACGGCUAACUACGUG
RNAcentral lists this ribosomal RNA (497 nucleotides) under uncultured bacterium. RNAcentral describes it as "partial 16S ribosomal RNA". It matches the Rfam family "Bacterial small subunit ribosomal RNA", at positions 28 to 507 of the family's 1533-position model. The record is from RNAcentral.